This 253-nucleotide ribosomal RNA is filed under the name uncultured bacterium. Its description in RNAcentral is "partial 16S ribosomal RNA". It matches the Rfam family "Bacterial small subunit ribosomal RNA", at positions 524 to 776 of the family's 1533-position model. The record is from RNAcentral.
UACGUAGGGGGCGAGCGUUGUUCGGAAUUAUUGGGCGUAAAGGGUGCGUAGGCGGCGUGAUAAGUGUUUCAGUCAAAACGAGGGCUCAACCUUCGGGAUCGGAAGCAGACUGUCAUGCUAGAGUUUUCCAGGGGCAAGUGGAAUGCCUGGUGUAGCGGUGAAAUGUAUAGAUAUCAGGCGGAACACCGGUGGCGAAGGCGACUUGCUGGGGAGAGACUGACGCUGAGGCACGAAAGCCAGGGGAGCAAACGGG